This 460-nucleotide ribosomal RNA is filed under the name uncultured bacterium. Its description in RNAcentral is "partial 16S ribosomal RNA". It matches the Rfam family "Bacterial small subunit ribosomal RNA", at positions 338 to 795 of the family's 1533-position model. The record is from RNAcentral.
CCUACGGGUGGCAGCAGUGAGGAAUAUUGGUCAAUGGACGAGAGUCUGAACCAGCCAAGUCGCGUGAAGGAUGAAUGCCCUAUGGUUUGUAAACUUCUUUUAUAUGGGAAUAAAAUGUUGAACGUGUGCGUUUUUGUAUGUACCAUAUGAAUAAGGAUCGGCUAACUCCGUGCCAGCAGCCGCGGUAAUACGGAGGAUGCGAGCGUUAUCCGGAUUUAUUGGGUUUAAAGGGAGCGUAGGUGGAUUGUUAAGUCAGUUGUGAAAGUUUGCGGCUCAACCGUAAAAUUGCAGUUGAAACUGGCAGUCUUGAGUACAGUAGAGGUGGGCGGAAUGCGUGGUGUAGCGGUGAAAUGCUUAGAUAUCACGAAGAACUCCGAUUGCGAAGGCAGCUUACUGGACUGCAACUGACACUGAGGCACGAAAGUGUGGGGAUCAAACAGGAUUAGAUACCCUGGUAGUC